AACGAACGCUGGCGGCAUGCCUAACACAUGCAAGUCGAACGAGCCCUUCGGGUCUAGUGGCGCACGGGUGCGUAACGCGUGGGAACCUGCCCUUAGGUUCGGAAUAACUCCCCGAAAGGGGUGCUAAUACCGGAUAAUGUCUUCGGACCAAAGAUUUAUCGCCUUUGGAUGGGCCCGCGUUGGAUUAGCUAGUUGGUAGGGUAAAAGCCUACCAAGGCGACGAUCCAUAGCUGGUCUGAGAGGAUGAUCAGCCACACUGGGACUGAGACACGGCCCAGACUCCUACGGGAGGCAGCAGUGGGGAAUAUUGGACAAUGGGCGAAAGCCUGAUCCAGCAAGGCCGCGUGAGUGAUGAAGGCCUGAGGGUUGUAAAGCUCUUUUACCCGGGAUGAUAAUGACAGUACCGGGAGAAUAAGCGCCGGCUAACUCCGUG
Molecule: ribosomal RNA, 433 nt
Filed under: uncultured bacterium
Lineage: Bacteria
Description: partial 16S ribosomal RNA
Rfam family: Bacterial small subunit ribosomal RNA
Source: RNAcentral